GUUCUUCAUCUGAGCUGAAUCAUGUUCAACGUCACAGUGUCGUGUUCAGAGAUUCAGACUCCUGUGGGGUUUGUGUACGUGAUUCUGUCUGUUUUACUGAAUAAAACACACAAUCCUGACUGUGAUCAGAGCUGGUAUUCACAGGAUGAUCGUCUGAUAGCAGAUCCAUCAGAUCCUCAAACACUGAUUGAUCCUGUGACGUCUGUCUCUUCUGAUCGUCUCGUCACGUCUCAGUGUGUGAAUCUGAAUCAUGAGAUCAUCUGUCACGCUGCAGGAUUCAGAUGUGACACCGUGUUCAGAGUGUUUAAUGACUCCAUCAGUGAAUCGACUCAAGCUCCAGAAUCACAUCAGUUGUGCUGGAUUCCUGCUCUGAUCUUCAUUGUUCUUCUGGCUUUAAUCUGUUUCUUGCUGCAUAAAAGGAUCUUCAGGGAUCCUGAAUCUGUUGUCCGCGUGAAGCUCAGAUCUGAUGAAUCUGAUUCGCUGAAACAAUCUGAAUCUGAGCUUAUCAACAGCUCCAUGUCCAGAGGAUGA
RNAcentral lists this long non-coding RNA (531 nucleotides) under Carassius auratus (goldfish). Its description in RNAcentral is "lncRNA (ENSCARG00000001091.1)". The record is from RNAcentral. Lineage: Eukaryota; Metazoa; Chordata; Actinopteri; Cypriniformes; Cyprinidae.